UGAGUGCGAGCUGCUACGGCAGCGAAGUUGGUGACGUCAUGCUUCCAAGAAAAGCCCUAUACCCGUUAAGGCAUCAUGGCCUGUACCCGAAACCGACACAGGUGGGGUGGUAGAGAAUACCGAGGGGCGCGAGGUAACUCUCUCUAAGGAACUCGGCAAAAUGGCCCCGUAACUUCGGGAGAAGGGGUGCCACCGCAAGGUGGUCGCAGUGAAGAGGCCCAGGCGACUGUUUACCAAAAACACAGGUCUCCGCUAAGUCGCAAGACGAUGUAUGGGGGCUGACGCCUGCCCAGUGCCGGAAGGUUAAGGAAGCUGGUCAGCGCAAGCGAAGCUAGCGACUGAAGCCCCGGUGAACGGCGGCCGUAACAAUAACGGUCCUAAGGUAGCGAAAUUCCUUGUCGGGUAAGUUCCGACCCGCACGAAAGGCGUAACGAUCUGGGCGCUGUCUCGGAGAGAGGCUCGGCGAAAUAGAAUUGUCUGUGAAGAUGCGGACUACGUGCACCCGGACAGAAAGACCCUAUGAAGCUUUACUGUAGCUUGGUAUUGUGCCCGGGCUCGCAAUGCGCAGGAUAGGUGGGAGGCUUUGAUCAUCGGCUUGCGGGUCGAUGUGAGCCAACGGUGAGAUACCACUCUUUGCGAGCUAGGGUUCUAACGGCCACCCGUCAUCCGGGGGCCGGACAGUACCUGGUGGGCAGUUUGACUGGGGCGGUCGCCUCCUAAAAGGUAACGGAGGCGCGCAAAGGUUUGCUCAGGCUGGUUGGAAAUCAGCCGACGAGUGUAAAAGCAGAAGCAAGCUUGACUGUGAGACCAACAAGUCGAACAGGGAGGAAACUCGGCUUUAGUGAUCCGACGGUUCUGAGUGGAAGGGCCGUCGCUCUACGGAUAAAAGUUACUCUAGGGAUAACAGGCUGAUCUCCCCCAAGAGUUCACAUCGACGGGGAGGUUUGGCACCUCGAUGUCGGCUCAUCGCAACCUGGGGCUGAAGUCGGUCCCAAGGGUUGGGCUGUUCGCCCAUUAAAGCGGUACGCGAGCUGGGUUCAGAACGUCGUGAGACAGUUCGGUCCAUAUCCGGUGCACGCGCAGGAAUAUUGAGAGGAUUUCUCCCUAGUACGAGAGGACCGGGUGGAACGCACCUCUGGUGUACCAGUUAUCGUGCCAACGGUAAACGCUGGGUAGCCAUGUGCGGAGUGGAUAACCGCUGAAAGCAUCUAAGUGGGAAGCCCACCUCAAGAUGAGUAUUCCCAUGGCGUAAGCCAGUAAGGUCACGGGAAGAACACCCGUUGAUAGGCUCUAUGUGGAAGCGCAGUAAUGCGUGAAGCAGAGGAGUACUAAUAGACCGAGGGCUUGACC
RNAcentral lists this ribosomal RNA (1350 nucleotides) under metagenome. RNAcentral describes it as "bacterial LSU rRNA". It matches the Rfam family "Bacterial large subunit ribosomal RNA", at positions 1564 to 2925 of the family's 2925-position model. The record is from RNAcentral.